This 363-nucleotide ribosomal RNA is filed under the name Triticum aestivum (bread wheat). RNAcentral describes it as "partial small subunit ribosomal RNA". The record is from RNAcentral. Lineage: Eukaryota; Viridiplantae; Streptophyta; Magnoliopsida; Poales; Poaceae.
AUGUGCAUGUCUAUUUUCACUACUCUUGCCAAUGCUGACAAAUCCAAGAAGCCUGAACCACGAAAGGGGUUCUCAAAGUUGACGGUAUCUGAAGCAGAAAGGGCUUUCUCAGGCAACAUGUGUAGAUGUACUGGUUACCGACCGAUCGUCGAUGCAUGCAAAAGUUUUGCUUCAGAUGUUGACCUGGAAGAUUUGGGCCUCAAUAUAUUCUCGUCGAUGCGUGCAAAAGUUUUGCUUCAGAUGUUGACCUGGAGGAUUUGGGCCUCAAUAUAUUCUGGAAGAAAGGUGAUAAGGAUGCCGACGUUUGCAAGUUGCCAACUUACACUCUUGGUGGUGGAGUCUGCACUUUCCCGGACUUCCUGA